GAUGAACGCUGGCGGCGUUCCUAAGACAGGCAAAUCAAGCCAACGGGGUAGAAGUUUUCUUUUGUGAUGUUAGCGGCGGACGUGUGAUUAACACGUGGAUCACCUACCUCUAACACUGGGAUAACUUCCAGAAACCGCAUCUCAUACCGGAUAGUAUUUUGAACCGGAUUGUUCAAAAGUGAAAUACGGGCUUGCUGUCCCGUAUAGCUGUAGCCGGGCUUCAUUAGCUAGUUGGUAAGGUAACGGCGUAACAAGGCAACGAUGCCUAACGGCCCUGAGAGGGUGAUCGGCCACACGGGAACUGAGACACGGUCCAGACUCCGAAGGGAGGCAGCAGUAGGGACUCUUCCGCCAUGGGCGAAAGCCUGACGGAGCACCGCCGCGUGAGUGAUGAAGGUCUUAGGAUCGGAAAACUCUGUUCCUAGGGCAGAACAUAUGUGUAAGGAACUGUCCACACCUUGACGGUACCUAAUCAGAGAGGUAAGGAGAACCACGGG
Molecule: ribosomal RNA, 497 nt
Filed under: uncultured bacterium
Lineage: Bacteria
Description: partial 16S ribosomal RNA
Rfam family: Bacterial small subunit ribosomal RNA
Source: RNAcentral